This 254-nucleotide ribosomal RNA is filed under the name uncultured bacterium. RNAcentral's name for it is "partial 16S ribosomal RNA". It matches the Rfam family "Bacterial small subunit ribosomal RNA", at positions 524 to 776 of the family's 1533-position model. The record is from RNAcentral.
UACGUAGGGAGCGAGCGUUGUCCGGAUUUAUUGGGCGUAAAGAGCGCGUAGGCGGCUUGGUAAGCCGGAUGUGAAACCCCCGAGCUCAACUCGGGGCGGCCAUUCGGAACUGCCAUGGCUAGAGUCUGGUAGGGGAACACGGAAUACCUGGUGUAGCGGUGAAAUGCUUAGAUAUCAGGAGGAACACCGGUGGCGAAGGCGGGUCUCUGGGCAGUAACUGACGCUGAGGAGCGAAAGCGUGGGGAGCGAACAGG